RNAcentral lists this long non-coding RNA (781 nucleotides) under Brachypodium distachyon (stiff brome). RNAcentral describes it as "long non-coding RNA (BDIS_LNC005037)". The record is from RNAcentral. Lineage: Eukaryota; Viridiplantae; Streptophyta; Magnoliopsida; Poales; Poaceae.
AGCAAACAGGACACGCAUAUCGAGUGCUAUAAAGAUAACCUGCAAUCACCCAAGGCCAAGGUGGCUUAGAACAUACCACAAAUAUACAAAUGUAAUGUCCGAAGUCAAUCUAUAGUGAAUGACACCGCGCCAUAUUGCUCAUGCAUUGAACAGUUCAAGGCCAGGCUUUACCAGUUCAGUUUUGCAUUAGAAUGCUAGUAAAAUCACAGAGGCAUUUAAGCAAACACGUGAAGAGCAAUCACGGAGUCUUCCGUAUGUGCGGCCUCCAAGAUUAGCAGGACCGCGACGCUGCCCACGACCGAAGGUUCCCUUAAUACCUUCGCCAUAGCUGGCUGCUCCGCCUGCCGCGAACUUGCCGGCGGCGUGGGCGCUGCGGAGCGCUUUCGGGAGGGUGGCGGCGCGCAGUCGUCAGCGUGGUGUAACAUGGGCCGCUUGCGGGGUAGAGGAACAGCCUGCACGCGGUGUGGUGGCCGGAGGCAUGGGGGGCGGCGGAACGGACGCGAGCAUCAUGUGUCGGACGUGGGUAGAAGAUGGAGUUUUACGGCUCAACACAGCAAAUGCGCAUGGCGCAGAGAGGGAUGGCGGGGAAUAUGCCAGGGAUGGGAAGAUAUGCCCUGCGGCUGCGCUGCGACCAGGAAGGAGCAGCGAUGAUUCAAGACUGGCCCAUUCACAUUUGUGAUUCAGAUAUGGUUUUUUUUCUAGAAUACUCCCUCCGUCCUGAUUUUCCAGGCGUCUUGUUCAAACGACGCUGUCCAGCUUUUGGAGGCGCGGUUCCUCUUUU